UUAAGCGACUAAGCGUACACGGUGGAUGCCCUGGCAGUCAGAGGCGAUGAAGGACGUGCUAAUCUGCGAUAAGCGUCGGUAAGGUGAUAUGAACCGUUAUAACCGGCGAUUUCCGAAUGGGGAAACCCAGUGUGAUUCGUCACACUAUCAUUAACUGAAUCCAUAGGUUAAUGAGGCGAACCGGGGGAACUGAAACAUCUAAGUACCCCGAGGAAAAGAAAUCAACCGAGAUUCCCCCAGUAGCGGCGAGCGAACGGGGAGCAGCCCAGAGCCUGAAUCAGUGUGUGUGUUAGUGGAAGCGUCUGGAAAGGCGCGCGAUACAGGGUGACAGCCCCGUACACAAAAAUGCACAUGCUGUGAGCUCGAUGAGUAGGGCGGGACACGUGGUAUCCUGUCUGAAUAUGGGGGGACCAUCCUCCAAGGCUAAAUACUCCUGACUGACCGAUAGUGAACCAGUACCGUGAGGGAAAGGCGAAAAGAACCCCGGCGAGGGGAGUGAAAAAGAACCUGAAACCGUGUACGUACAAGCAGUGGGAGCACAGAGCAAUCUGUGUGACUGCGUACCUUUUGUAUAAUGGGUCAGCGACUUAUAUUCUGUAGCAAGGUUAACCGAAUAGGGGAGCCGAAGGGAAACCGAGUCUUAACUGGGCGUUAAGUUGCAGGGUAUAGACCCGAAACCCGGUGAUCUAGCCAUGGGCAGGUUGAAGGUUGGGUAACACUAACUGGAGGACCGAACCGACUAAUGUUGAAAAAUUAGCGGAUGACUUGUGGCUGGGGGUGAAAGGCCAAUCAAACCGGGAGAUAGCUGGUUCUCCCCGAAAGCUAUUUAGGUAGCGCCUCGUGAAUUCAUCUCCGGGGGUAGAGCACUGUUUCGGCAAGGGGGUCAUCCCGACUUACCAACCCGAUGCAAACUGCGAAUACCGGAGAAUGUUAUCACGGGAGACACACGGCGGGUGCUAACGUCCGUCGUGAAGAGGGAAACAACCCAGACCGCCAGCUAAGGUCCCAAAGUCAUGGUUAAGUGGGAAACGAUGUGGGAAGGCCCAGACAGCCAGGAUGUUGGCUAGAAGCAGCCAUCAUUUAAAGAAAGCGUAAUAGCUCACUGGUCGAGUCGGCCUGCGCGGAAGAUGUAACGGCUAAACCAUGCACCGAAGCUGCGGCAGCGACGCUUAUGCGUUGUUGGGUAGGGGAGCGUUCUGUAAGCCUGCGAAGGUGUGCUGUGAGGCAUGCUGGAGGUAUCAGAAGUGCGAAUGCUGACAUAAGUAACGAUAAAGCGGGUGAAAAGCCCGCUCGCCGGAAGACCAAGGGUUCCUGUCCAACGUUAAUCGGGGCAGGGUGAGUCGACCCCUAAGGCGAGGCCGAAAGGCGUAGUCGAUGGGAAACAGGUUAAUAUUCCUGUACUUGGUGUUACUGCGAAGGGGGGACGGAGAAGGCUAUGUUGGCCGGGCGACGGUUGUCCCGGUUUAAGCGUGUAGGCUGGUUUUCCAGGCAAAUCCGGAAAAUCAAGGCUGAGGCGUGAUGACGAGGCACUACGGUGCUGAAGCAACAAAUGCCCUGCUUCCAGGAAAAGCCUCUAAGCAUCAGGUAACAUCAAAUCGUACCCCAAACCGACACAGGUGGUCAGGUAGAGAAUACCAAGGCGCUUGAGAGAACUCGGGUGAAGGAACUAGGCAAAAUGGUGCCGUAACUUCGGGAGAAGGCACGCUGAUAUGUAGGUGAAGUCCCUCGCGGAUGGAGCUGAAAUCAGUCGAAGAUACCAGCUGGCUGCAACUGUUUAUUAAAAACACAGCACUGUGCAAACACGAAAGUGGACGUAUACGGUGUGACGCCUGCCCGGUGCCGGAAGGUUAAUUGAUGGGGUCAGCGCAAGCGAAGCUCUUGAUCGAAGCCCCGGUAAACGGCGGCCGUAACUAUAACGGUCCUAAGGUAGCGAAAUUCCUUGUCGGGUAAGUUCCGACCUGCACGAAUGGCGUAAUGAUGGCCAGGCUGUCUCCACCCGAGACUCAGUGAAAUUGAACUCGCUGUGAAGAUGCAGUGUACCCGCGGCAAGACGGAAAGACCCCGUGAACCUUUACUAUAGCUUGACACUGAACAUUGAGCCUUGAUGUGUAGGAUAGGUGGGAGGCUUUGAAGUGUGGACGCCAGUCUGCAUGGAGCCGGCCUUGAAAUACCACCCUUUAAUGUUUGAUGUUCUAACGUUGACCCGUAAUCCGGGUUGCGGACAGUGUCUGGUGGGUAGUUUGACUGGGGCGGUCUCCUCCUAAAGAGUAACGGAGGAGCACGAAGGUUGGCUAAUCCUGGUCGGACAUCAGGAGGUUAGUGCAAUGGCAUAAGCCAGCUUGACUGCGAGCGUGACGGCGCGAGCAGGUGCGAAAGCAGGUCAUAGUGAUCCGGUGGUUCUGAAUGGAAGGGCCAUCGCUCAACGGAUAAAAGGUACUCCGGGGAUAACAGGCUGAUACCGCCCAAGAGUUCAUAUCGACGGCGGUGUUUGGCACCUCGAUGUCGGCUCAUCACAUCCUGGGGCUGAAGUAGGUCCCAAGGGUAUGGCUGUUCGCCAUUUAAAGCGGUACGCGAGGCUGGGUUUAGAACGUCGUGAGACAGUUCGGUCCCUAUCUGCCGUGGGCGCUGGAGAACGUGAGGGGGGCUGCUCCUAGUACGAGAGGACCGGAGUGGACGCAUCACUGGUGUUCGGGUUGUCAUGCCAAUGGCACUGCCCGGUAGCUAAAUGCGGAAGAGAUAAGUGCUGAAAGCAUCUAAGCACGAAACUUGCCCCGAGAUGAGUUCUCCCUGACUCCUUGAGAGUCCUGAAGGAACGUUGAAGACGACGACGUUGAUAGGCCGGGUGUGUAAGCGCAGCGAUGCGUUGAGCUAACCGGUACUAAUGAACCGUGAGGCUUAACCUU
This 2903-nucleotide ribosomal RNA is filed under the name Escherichia coli DEC11E. Its description in RNAcentral is "bacterial LSU rRNA". It matches the Rfam family "Bacterial large subunit ribosomal RNA". The record is from RNAcentral. Lineage: Bacteria; Pseudomonadati; Pseudomonadota; Gammaproteobacteria; Enterobacterales; Enterobacteriaceae.